AUGGCAGCGUCCCUCCGCUCCCCGCCGCCCGUGCCCGCAGCCGCCGCCUUCCGCCGCUGCCGCGCCGCCGCCGUCGUCUGCGCCUCCUCCUCUCCCUCCUCGUCCUCGUCGUCGGCCGUGUCGUCCGCUCCCAAGGCGCGCUUCGUCGCCCGCCGCUCCGAGUCCACCUCCGUCCAGCAGCUCGCCCGCCCCCUCGGUACGACAACCCUAGCCCCGACCAGGAGCCUCACCUCACCUCACCUCCCCCAGCGAUCUCCUGACACGUUACCGUCCGUCUGUCCGCAUAUGUAUGCAGCGGAGUACAUGGGCCUGCCGGCAAGCCAGUACUCGGUGCUGGACGCGGAGCGCAUCGAGCGCGUCGACGAGUCCACCUUCCGCUGCUACGUCUACCGCUUCCGCUUCUUCGCGCUCGAGGUCUGCCCCGUCCUCCUCGUCCGCGUCGACGAGGAGCCCAACGGCUGCUGCAUCCGCCUCCUCUCAUGCAAGCUGGAGGGGUCACCCCUUGUGGAGGCGCAGAAUGACAAAUUCUCGGCUUCCAUGGUGAAUAGGGUUUUCUGCAACAGCAGUUCAGAGGGUUCGACGCUUCAACAGCUUACAUCGGAUGCUACAAUCGAGGUUGCAAUUGACAUUCCCUUUCCAUUUCAAGCACUACCAGUUGAAGCUAUUGAAUCAAGUGGCAGGCAAGUGCUUGAGCAGUUACUCCGAGUCAUGCUUCCACGAUUUCUGAAGCAGCUUGAUAAAGACUACCAAGCUUGGGCCUCGGGCGAUUCUUCACGGAAACCGCUUGGCACUGGGGAAAUAUGA
RNAcentral lists this ribosomal RNA (804 nucleotides) under Triticum aestivum (bread wheat). RNAcentral describes it as "partial small subunit ribosomal RNA". The record is from RNAcentral. Lineage: Eukaryota; Viridiplantae; Streptophyta; Magnoliopsida; Poales; Poaceae.